GGUGGUCUUUUUCCUUUCGUUUUUCGGGUAUUUUGAGGCUGGAUUUGGACUUAGGGGGUCGAAACCUAAGAGGGGAUACCUUUUUACCCUCGCCGGCCACCGUGAAUGGUGGCACCAACGCCGGCCACCGACGGCCAGCACGGUGGCUAGUGACCGGACUCUUGGCCGGAGAGAUGAACGGAGAAGGGGAGAGGGAGAGCAUAUCAGUUGUUU
Molecule: long non-coding RNA, 213 nt
Filed under: Gossypium barbadense (sea-island cotton)
Lineage: Eukaryota; Viridiplantae; Streptophyta; Magnoliopsida; Malvales; Malvaceae
Description: long non-coding RNA (GBAR_LNC021838)
Source: RNAcentral